RNAcentral lists this ribosomal RNA (470 nucleotides) under Arthrobacter sp. JMT1919. RNAcentral's name for it is "bacterial SSU rRNA". It matches the Rfam family "Bacterial small subunit ribosomal RNA", at positions 48 to 529 of the family's 1533-position model. Lineage: Bacteria; Bacillati; Actinomycetota; Actinomycetes; Micrococcales; Micrococcaceae. The record is from RNAcentral.
UUAACACAUGCAAGUCGAACGAUGACCUCCAGCUUGCUGGGGUGAUUAGUGGCGAACGGGUGAGUAACACGUGAGUAACCUGCCCUUAACUCUGGGAUAAGCCUGGGAAACUGGGUCUAAUACCGGAUAUGACUCCUCAUCGCAUGGUGGGGGGUGGAAAGCUUUUUGUGGUUUUGGAUGGACUCGCGGCCUAUCAGCUUGUUGGUGAGGUAAUGGCUCACCAAGGCGACGACGGGUAGCCGGCCUGAGAGGGUGACCGGCCACACUGGGACUGAGACACGGCCCAGACUCCUACGGGAGGCAGCAGUGGGGAAUAUUGCACAAUGGGCGAAAGCCUGAUGCAGCGACGCCGCGUGAGGGAUGACGGCCUUCGGGUUGUAAACCUCUUUCAGUAGGGAAGAAGCGAAAGUGACGGUACCUGCAGAAGAAGCGCCGGCUAACUACGUGCCAGCAGCCCGCGGUAAUACGUA